This 653-nucleotide ribosomal RNA is filed under the name uncultured archaeon. RNAcentral's name for it is "bacterial SSU rRNA". It matches the Rfam family "Archaeal small subunit ribosomal RNA", at positions 96 to 735 of the family's 1478-position model. The record is from RNAcentral.
ACACGUAGCUAACCUACCCUCGGGACGGGUACACCCCCGGGAAACUGGGGCUAAUACCAGAUAGGCGUGGAGGCCUGGAAUGGUUCCACACCCAAAUGCAGUAAGACCAUGUUCUUACCGUGCCCGAGGAUGGGGCUGCGGCCGAUCAGGCAGUUGGCGAGGUAACGGCUCACCAAACCUUUGACCGGUACGGGCCAUGAGAGUGGUAGCCCGGGGAUGGGCACUGAGACAGGGGCCCAGGCCCUACGGGGCGCAGCAGGCGCGAAACCUCCACAAUAUACGGAAGUAUGAUGGGGUUACCUCGAGUGCAGUCCGAUAAGGGCUGCUUUUCCAUAGAGUAAUAUCCUGUGGGAAUAAGAGGGGGGCAAGACUGGUGUCAGCCGCCGCGGUAACACCAGCCCCUCGAGUGGUGGGGACUUUUAUUUGGCCUAAAGCGUCCGUAGCCGGCUGUGUCCGUUAUCCGUUAAAUCCGGCGUCUUAAGCGUCGGACUGCGGGUGAUACCACACAACUAGAGGGUGGGAUAGGUAAGCGGUAUUUCUGGGGUAGGGGCGAAAUCCUUUGAUCCCAGGAGGACCACCAGUGGCGAAGGCUGCUUACUAGAACACGCCUGACGGUCAGGGACGAAAGCUGGGGUAGCGAACCGGAUUAGAUA